UUAUACUCGCUCCGUCCAAAAUAAACCAAUUUUUCACUUUUUACCUAUAAUUUUAUAAUUUUUGACUUUUCGUUUUAUUUAAUUUUUUUUUACGAUUGAUAUUUUUUAUUAAAUGAUAAAUCAUGAAUAGUACUUUACGUGUGAUUAUUUUUUUUUAAUUUUUUGAAAAUUUUUCAAAUAAAACGGAUGGUCAAAUGCUGGACACAAAAAUCGAAGAAUUGAUUUUUUUUAGCAGAGGGAGUAGAUACAUGCGUCCGUUCACGACUACCGGUACUUUAUCAGAGAACAUCUAAAUUAAUUUCCCAGAUGACAAAUAAAUUAAGCGACAGCAAUUACAAAUUAUUCAAUAUCCAGCUAGCAAUACAAGCUAGCUAGCUGUAUGCAUGCAUGAUGCAUCAGGGCAUGCUGUUGUCUAUUCGAUAUAUACAGAGACAGCUAAAUAGAUAAUUUGUAUAAUAGAUUGUCUAUUGACUUUCUGUAGCAUAUUUAAUACUUUAUUUUUUAUUUUGGUAUUUGUUACAUGCAACUGAUGUAUGAAGUAUUUCUCCACUAAAAGAUUACAUGCGACUUGGAAGCACGAACGAUGAGACAUUAAUUCAGUUUUUAUUAAGUUAAUGAUGUCACGUAGGAUAGCUAAUCUGACGUGAACAUAUACAGACAGUUGUUAUUACAUACCCUCGAUAUCUUACGACAUCAAUGGUAGUCAGUCGCCGGGAAAGAGGAGAGCAAGCGAGAGAAGAUAAAGGAAUAAAGAAGAAGAGAAAAAACCUGACAUGUAGGGUUCACCGUAUGCCACGUCAGCAAAAGCCAGGUAAGAAUAAGGUAAUACUGCUGAAUGAUUUUUUUAACGGUUUAUGCUAGUUUAUAAUAUAUAUUUUGAAUUUAAGGUUAAAAAAAUUGAAGGAUUUCCGGUGAACUUAUUCCUCUGCGGUAACUUAUUCCUUCUCUGACCCACUGCAGAGGCGUCGUUUGGAUCGGACAUGGACACGGUGAACACUGCAGAGGCCCAACACGGGCUCUCCAGCCAACCACUGUUUAGCAAUUUCAUAUAUGCAUACGACGAAAUCUGAAUUUUUAGAGCUUCAUUUUUGGAGUUGGUUUUUAGGUUUUUUAUAUUAAUCUGUAACAUUCGUCUACAAUAAGCA
Molecule: long non-coding RNA, 1145 nt
Filed under: Oryza brachyantha (malo sina)
Lineage: Eukaryota; Viridiplantae; Streptophyta; Magnoliopsida; Poales; Poaceae
Description: long non-coding RNA (OBRA_LNC000909)
Rfam family: MIR812 microRNA precursor family (bases 54-216)
Source: RNAcentral